AUUGAACGCUGGCGGCAUGCCUUACACAUGCAAGUCGAACGGUAACAGGUCUUCGGAUGCUGACGAGUGGCGAACGGGUGAGUAAUACAUCGGAACGUGCCCAGUCGUGGGGGAUAACGAAGCGAAAGCUUUGCUAAUACCGCAUACGAUCUACGGAUGAAAGCGGGGGAUCGCAAGACCUCGCGCGAUUGGAGCGGCCGAUGGCAGAUUAGGUAGUUGGUGGGGUAAAGGCGUACCAAGCCUACGAUCGGUAGCUGGUCUGAGAGGACGACCCGCCACGCUGGGACUGAGACACGGCCCAGAGUCCUACGGGAGGCAGCAGUGGGGAAUUUUGGACAAUGGGCGCAAGCCUGAUCCAGCAAUGCCGCGUGCAGGAUGAAGGCCUUCGGGUUGUAAACUGCUUUUGUACGGAACGAAAAGCUCUGGGUUAAUACCCUGGGGUCAUGACGGUACCGUAAGAAUAAGCACCGGCUAACUACGUGCCAGCCGCCGCGGUAA
This 498-nucleotide ribosomal RNA is filed under the name uncultured bacterium. RNAcentral describes it as "partial 16S ribosomal RNA". It matches the Rfam family "Bacterial small subunit ribosomal RNA", at positions 30 to 523 of the family's 1533-position model. The record is from RNAcentral.